UNUGAAGUUAAAGGCUGUGGCUUANCCAUAGUACGCUUUGGAAACUGUUUAACUUGAGUGCAGAAGGGGAGAGUGGAAUUCCAUGUGUAGCGGUGAAAUGCGUAGAUAUAUGGAGGAACACCGGUGGCGAAAGCGGCUCUCUGGUCUGUAACUGACGCUGAGGCUCGAAAGCGUGGGGAGCGAACAGGAUUAGAUACCCUGGUAGUCCACGCCGUAAACGAUGAGUGCUAGGUGUUAGGCCCUUUCCGGGGCUUAGUGCCGCAGCUAACGCAUUAAGCACUCCGCCUGGGGAGUACGACCGCAAGGUUGAAACUCAAAGGAAUUGACGGGGGCCCGCACAAGCGGUGGAGCAUGUGGUUUAAUUCGAAGCAACGCGAAGAACCUUACCAGGUCUUGACAUCCCGAUGCCCGCUCUAGAGAUAGAGUUUUACUUCGGUACAUCGGUGACAGGUGGUGCAUGGUUGUCGUCAGCUCGUGUCGUGAGAUGUUGGGUUAAGUCCCGCAACGAGCGCAACCCUUAUUGUUAGUUGCCAUCAUUCAGUUGGGCACUCUAGCGAGACUGCCGGUAAUAAACCGGAGGAAGGUGGGGAUGACGUCAAAUCAUCAUGCCCCUUAUGACCUGGGCUACACACGUGCUACAAUGGCUGGUACAACGAGUCGCAAGUCGGUGACGGCAAGCUAAUCUCUUAAAGCCAGUCUCAGUUCGGAUUGUAGGCUGCAACUCGCCUACAUGAAGUCGGAAUCGCUAGUAAUCGCGGAUCAGCACGCCGCGGUGAAUACGUUCCCGGGCCUUGUACACACCGCCCGUCACACCACGAGAGUUUGUAACACCCGAAGUCGGUGAGGUANCCUUUUAGGAGCCAG
Molecule: ribosomal RNA, 864 nt
Filed under: uncultured bacterium
Lineage: Bacteria
Description: bacterial SSU rRNA
Rfam family: Bacterial small subunit ribosomal RNA
Source: RNAcentral